Molecule: long non-coding RNA, 5044 nt
Organism: Anopheles funestus (African malaria mosquito)
Lineage: Eukaryota; Metazoa; Arthropoda; Insecta; Diptera; Culicidae
Exons: 3
Source: RefSeq, a predicted model, not a curated record
AUAAGUUGUUCCAUGUCGAUAUGCUCAGAUGUCUGUGGAAAAAGUUAUUCGAGAUACAAAGACUUAACAUUUUCUCGGUUUUUCUAAAAAAAAUCCUUAUUUUUCCACUUUGCAUGCUCAUAACUCGGUCAGUUUUCGACGGAUCUUCAGUUGUAACACAGAUUUGGAUAGAUCAGCUCAUUGGCUACCAUAAGUUGUUCCAUGUCGAUAUGCUCAGAUGUCUGUGGAAAAAGUUAUUUGAGAUACAAAGACUUAACAUUUUCUCGGUUUUUCUAAAAAAAUCCUCAUUUUUCCACUUUGCAUGCUCAUAACUCGGUCAGUUUUCGACGGAUCUUCAGUUGUAACACAGAUUUGGAUAGAUCAGCUCAUUAGCUACCAUAAGUUGUUCCAUGUCGAUAUGCUCAAGCUGCGGGGCCACGACAGUUGAGACUUUCCCUCAAACUUCCUCAGUCACUCAAAUCCCUCAAAAAGCGUCUCAAAACCAGUGUUGCCGUGGCCGUUUGAGGUUUUCCUCAAAUUCUGUCACACAAACAAUCACUCAUGCUGCCUCUCUUUUCGUCAGCGACAACAAACAGUGUUUGACAAAUGCUACGUAUUUCAUGUAAUUGUAAUCUUUGUUCAAAGGUGUUUUUUGAUCAAUUCAAUGGAAAAUAUGGCCAAUAAAAAGUUGUUUUAAGGAAAAGAAAGUAUUUAAACAUUUAAUCAAUCAAAAGAACGAGAUUCAAGGAUAGUCUUUCGCAUAAAAAGUUUAGUUUUUAAAUUAAAACGUAUACAUAAAUUGUGUCACACACUGUGCAACAAAUGAACAAUUUAGAGUCGCAAAAAACAAAAAAAAUAAACACACAAAUACGGUGUUAAAUUAUAAUUAAUGCUAAUUUUAGUUCUUCAGUAGGUAUUUGCAUUAACAAUGGCACAAGAAAAGUGUAAUUUCAUUGAAAAAAACUGCAAACAAAAAUAUGUUUUGUUUACAUUCUGAACGGCUGAGGCAUCGGAACUGUCAAAACGAUUCCUCAAAAAAAGUCUCAAAAAGUUUUUGAGGUUUUUGUUGAUCGGCCAGGUUUUCCUCAAAACGCAAAUCCCUCAAAAUCACUCAUGAGUUCCUGAGGUUUUUAAUUCUGAGGGAAUCCUCAACUGUCGUGGCCCCGCAGCUUCAGAUGUCUGUGGAAAAAGUUAUUCGAGAUACAAAGACUUAACAUUUUCUCGGAUUUUCCAAAAAAAUCCUUAUUUUGCCACUUUGCAUGCUCAUAACUCGGUCAGUUUUCGACGGAUCUUCAGUUGUAACACAUAUUUGGAUAGAUCUGGUCAUUAGCUACCAAAAGUUAUUCUACGCCGAUAUGCUCAGAUGUCUGUGGAAAAAGUUAUUCGAGAUACAAAGACUUAACAUUUUCUCGGUUUUUCUAAAAAAAUCCUCAUUUUGCCACUUUGCAUGCUCAUAACUCGGUCAGCUUUCGACGGAUCUUCAGUUGUAACACAGAUUUGGAUAGAUCAGCUCAUUGGCUACCAUAAGUUGUUCCAUGUCGAUAUGCUCAGAUGUCUGUGGAAAAAGUUAUUCGAGAUACAAAGACUUAACAUUUUCUCGGUUUUUCUAAAAAAUUCCUCAUUUUUCCACAUUGCAUGCUCAUAACUCGGUCAGUUUUCGACGGAUCUUCAGUUGUAACACAGAUUUGGAUAGAUCAGCUCAUUGGCUACCAUAAGUUGUUCCAUGUCGAUAUGCUCAGAUGUCUGUGGAAAAAGUUAUUUGAGAUACAAAGACUUAACAUUUUCUCGGUUUUUCUAAAAAAAUCCUCAUUUUUCCACUUUGCAUGCUCAUAACUCGGUCAGUUUUCGACGGAUCUUCAGUUGUAACACAGAUUUGGAUAGAUCAGCUCAUUAGCCACCAUAAGUUGUUCCAUGUCGAUAUGCUCAAGCUGCGGGGCCACGACAGUUGAGACUUUCCCUCAAACUUCCUCAGUCACUCAAAUCCCUCAAAAAGCGUCUCAAAACCAGUGUUGCCGUGGCCGUUUGAGGUUUUCCUCAAAUUCUGUCACACAAAUAAUCACUCAUGCUGCCUCUCUUUUCGUCAGCGACAACAAACAGUGUUUGACAAAUGCUACGUAUUUCAUGUAAUUGUAAUCUUUGUUCAAAGGUGUUUUUUGAUCAAUUCAAUGGAAAAUAUGGCCAAUAAAAAUUGUUUUAAGGAAAAGAAAGUAUUUAAACAUUUAAUCAAUCAAAAGAACGAGAUUCAAGGAUAGUCUUUCGCAUAAAAAGUUUAGUUUUUAAAUUAAAACGUAUACAUAAAUUGUGUCACACACUGUGCAACAAAUGAACAAUUUAGAGUCGCAAAAAACAAAAAAAAUAAACACACAAAUACGGUGUUAAAUUAUAAUUAAUGCUAAUUUUAGUUCUUCAGUAGGUAUUUGCAUUAACAAUGGCACAAGAAAAGUGUAAUUUCAUUGAAAAAAACUGCAAACAAAAAUAUGUUUUGUUUACAUUCUGAACGGCUGAGGCAUCGGAACUGUCAAAACGAUUCCUCAAAAAAAGUCUCAAAAAGUUUUUGAGGUUUUUGUUGAUCGGCCAGGUUUUCCUCAAAACGCAAAUCCCUCAAAAUCACUCAUGAGUUCCUGAGGUUUUUAAUUCUGAGGGAAUCCUCAACUGUCGUGGCCCCGCAGCUUCAGAUGUCUGUGGAAAAAGUUAUUCGAGAUACAAAGACUUAACAUUUUCUCGGAUUUUCCAAAAAAAUCCUUAUUUUGCCACUUUGCAUGCUCAUAACUUGGUCAGUUUUCGACGGAUCUUCAGUUGUAACACAUAUUUGGAUAGAUCUGGUCAUUAGCUACCAAAAGUUAUUCUACGCCGAUAUGCUCAGAUGUCUGUGGAAAAAGUUAUUCGAGAUACAAAGACUUAACAUUUUCUCGGUUUUUCUAAAAAAAUCCUCAUUUUUCCACUUUGCAUGCUCAUAACUCGGUCAGCUUUCGACGGAUCUUCAGUUGUAACACAGAUUUGGAUAGAUCAGCUCAUUGGCUACCAUAAGUUGUUCCAUGUCGAUAUGCUCAGAUGUCUGUGGAAAAAGUUAUUCGAGAUACAAAGACUUAACAUUUUCUCGGUUUUUCUAAAAAAUUCCUCAUUUUUCCACAUUGCAUGCUCAUAACUCGGUCAGUUUUCGACGGAUCUUCAGUUGUAACACAGAUUUGGAUAGAUCAGCUCAUUGGCUACCAUAAGUUGUUCCAUGUCGAUAUGCUCAGAUGUCUGUGGAAAAAGUUAUUUGAGAUACAAAGACUUAACAUUUUCUCGGUUUUUCUAAAAAAAUCCUCAUUUUUCCACUUUGCAUGCUCAUAACUCGGUCAGUUUUCGACGGAUCUUCAGUUGUAACACAGAUUUGGAUAGAUCAGCUCAUUAGCUACCAUAAGUUGUUCCAUGUCGAUAUGCUCAAGCUGCGGGGCCACGACAGUUGAGACUUUCCCUCAAACUUCCUCAGUCACUCAAAUCCCUCAAAAAGCGUCUCAAAACCAGUGUUGCCGUGGCCGUUUGAGGUUUUCCUCAAAUUCUGUCACACAAACAAUCACUCAUGCUGCCUCUCUUUUCGUCAGCGACAACAAACAGUGUUUGACAAAUGCUACGUAUUUCAUGUAAUUGUAAUCUUUGUUCAAAGGUGUUUUUUGAUCAAUUCAAUGGAAAAUAUGGCCAAUAAAAAUUGUUUUAAGGAAAAGAAAGUAUUUAAACAUUUAAUCAAUCAAAAGAACGAGAUUCAAGGAUAGUCUUUCGCAUAAAAAGUUUAGUUUUUAAAUUAAAACGUAUACAUAAAUUGUGUCACACACUGUGCAACAAAUGAACAAUUUAGAGUCGCAAAAAACAAAAAAAAUAAACACACAAAUACGGUGUUAAAUUAUAAUUAAUGCUAAUUUUAGUUCUUCAGUAGGUAUUUGCAUUAACAAUGGCACAAGAAAAGUGUAAUUUCAUUGAAAAAAACUGCAAACAAAAAUAUGUUUUGUUUACAUUCUGAACGGCUGAGGCAUCGGAACUGUCAAAACGAUUCCUCAAAAAAAGUCUCAAAAAGUUUUUGAGGUUUUUGUUGAUCGGCCAGGUUUUCCUCAAAACGCAAAUCCCUCAAAAUCACUCAUGAGUUCCUGAGGUUUUUAAUUCUGAGGGAAUCCUCAACUGUCGUGGCCCCGCAGCUUCAGAUGUCUGUGGAAAAAGUUAUUCGAGAUACAAAGACUUAACAUUUUCUCGGAUUUUCCAAAAAAAUCCUUAUUUUGCCACUUUGCAUGCUCAUAACUUGGUCAGUUUUCGACGGAUCUUCAGUUGUAACACAUAUUUGGAUAGAUCUGGUCAUUAGCUACCAAAAGUUAUUCUACGCCGAUAUGCUCAGAUGUCUGUGGAAAAAGUUAUUCGAGAUACAAAGACUUAACAUUUUCUCGGUUUUUCUAAAAAAUUCCUCAUUUUUCCACUUUGCAUGCUCAUAACUCGGUCAGCUUUCGACGGAUCUUCAGUUGUAACACAGAUUUGGAUAGAUCAGCUCAUUGGCUACCAUAAGUUGUUCCAUGUCGAUAUGCUCAGAUGUCUGUGGAAAAAGUUAUUCGAGAUACAAAGACUUAACAUUUUCUCGGUUUUUCUAAAAAAUUCCUCAUUUUUCCACAUUGCAUGCUCAUAACUCGGUCAGUUUUCGACGGAUCUUCAGUUGUAACACAGAUUUGGAUAGAUCAGCUCAUUGGCUACCAUAAGUUGUUCCAUGUCGAUAUGCUCAGAUGUCUGUGGAAAAAGUUAUUUGAGAUACAAAGACUUAACAUUUUCUCGGUUUUUCUAAAAAAAUCCUCAUUUUUCCACUUUGCAUGCUCAUAACUCGGUCAGUUUUCGACGGAUCUUCAGUUGUAACACAGAUUUGGAUAGAUCAGCUCAUUAGCUACCAUAAGUUGUUCCAUGUCGAUAUGCUCAAGCUGCGGGGCCACGACAGUUGAGACUUUCCCUCAAACUUCCUCAGUCACUCAAAUCCCUCAAAAAGCGUCUCAAAACCAGUGUUGCCGUGGCCGUUUGAGGUUUUCCUCAAAUUCUGUCACACAAAUAAUCACUCAUG